CAGCACCUCAAGUGGUCAGGAUGAUUAUUGAGCCUAAAGCAUCCGUAGCCGGCGCUGUAAGUUUUCGGUUAAAUCUGUACGCUCAACGUACAGGCUGCCGGGAAUACUGCAGCGCUAGGGAGUGGGAGAGGUAGACGGUACUCGGUAGGAAGGGGUAAAAUCCUUUGAUCUAUUGAUGACCACCUGUGGCGAAGGCGGUCUACCAGAACACGUCCGACGGUGAGGGAUGAAAGCUAGGGGAGCGAACCGGAUUAGAUACCCGAGUAGUCC
RNAcentral lists this ribosomal RNA (270 nucleotides) under uncultured archaeon. Its description in RNAcentral is "partial 16S ribosomal RNA". It matches the Rfam family "Archaeal small subunit ribosomal RNA", at positions 477 to 747 of the family's 1478-position model. The record is from RNAcentral.